GUGCAGCAGGCGCGAAACCUUCGCAAUGCGGGAAACCGCGACGAGGGGACUCCCAGUGCCUACGCUCAGCGUAGGCUGUUCCCGAGCCUAGAAAGCUCGGGGAGUAAGGGCUGGGUAAGACGGGUGCCAGCCGCCGCGGUAAUACCCGCAGCCCGAGUGGUGGCCACUAUUAUUGGGCCUAAAGCGUCCGUAGCCGGCCCGGUAAAUGCCUGGGUAAAUCGUGAGGCCUAACCUCACGAAUUCCGGGUAGACUGCCGGGCUAGGGGACCGGAGGAGGGAGAGGGUACUCCAGGGGUAGGGGUGAAAUCCUGUAAUCCCUGGAGGACCACCGGUGGCGAAGGCGCUCUCCUAGGACGGGUCCGACGGUGAGGGACGAAAGCCAGGGGAGCGAACCGGAUUAGAUACCCCUGUAGU
This 414-nucleotide ribosomal RNA is filed under the name uncultured microorganism. RNAcentral describes it as "bacterial SSU rRNA". It matches the Rfam family "Archaeal small subunit ribosomal RNA", at positions 330 to 745 of the family's 1478-position model. The record is from RNAcentral.